ACCAGCGGUGAUAGCACGUUGAAUGCACCAGUUCUCUACAGAUCACUGAAGUUCAGCAACGUUGCGCGUGGUUAGUACCUGGAUGGGUGAACAUCUGGAGAAUCCGCGUACUGCUGGGU
Molecule: ribosomal RNA, 119 nt
Filed under: Diaphorina citri (Asian citrus psyllid)
Lineage: Eukaryota; Metazoa; Arthropoda; Insecta; Hemiptera; Psyllidae
Source: RNAcentral